RNAcentral lists this ribosomal RNA (399 nucleotides) under Triticum aestivum (bread wheat). RNAcentral describes it as "partial small subunit ribosomal RNA". Lineage: Eukaryota; Viridiplantae; Streptophyta; Magnoliopsida; Poales; Poaceae. The record is from RNAcentral.
AUGGUCUGUGUCAGGGCGAUCCCAUCUCCCCAUCUCUUCCUGAUCGUAGCAGACCUGCUCCAACAGCUUAUCCUCAAAACACCCCACGCCUCGCUCCAUCACCCUCUCUUCUCUCAUCUACCACCCACCGUUUUACAGUACGCAGACGAUACUCUGAUCGUUGCCGCCGCCUCAACUGAUGCCGCUGCCGCUUUAAAAGGAAUACUAGACAGCUUCGCCAACGCCACUGGCUUAGCCAUAAACUUCUCCAAAACGACGAUCGCCACUCUCCACUUGGACGACGCUGCUGCUAACGACGCCGCCCUUGCCAUGGGUUGCUCUCGCGCCUCCUUCCCCCAAACCUACCUCGGGCUCCCUCUCUCCCCUACGAAACCUCCCUCCAAUGCCUUCGACCCCAUC